Sphaeramia orbicularis (orbiculate cardinalfish) is the source of this 2119-nucleotide long non-coding RNA. RefSeq lists it as uncharacterized. The transcript has 2 exons. Lineage: Eukaryota; Metazoa; Chordata; Actinopteri; Kurtiformes; Apogonidae. The record is from RefSeq and is a predicted model, not a curated record.
ACGAAAACUAAUAAAAACUAGCAAACCUGCUCUAAAAACUAAUGAAAACUAACUGAAUUAGAGAAAAAAAAGUCACAACUAAAUAAAACUGAACUAUAAUGAAAAAUCCAAAACUAUUAUAACCCUGGUGGUUUCACCCCUGUCUCAUUUAGUGUGCACUGUCAGACUUUAGUUUAAUUGAAGCUGAAUUUGCAGGUUCGACCAAAUGGAUAAAAUGUGAGAAAAACAUAGACUAUUUGAUGUGAAAAACCAUCAGGAGUGGUACAAAUGAACAAACCUGUCAUUUAUGAUCAAAUGGGACUUGGUUAAGACAGUUUGUUGCAUUUGGUGCUGACUUCUAUUUUUCUCUCUUAAAAGAAAAGAGUAUAAUUAAGAUAAUCCUUCAAAUCCUUAAUUUAAGGUGGAUUUAAGAGUCUGCAUGAGGACCAGUGUGUAUUAAUCUGCAUUUUAAAAUAAUCCCCUACAAAUUCACUGCUUUUGAGUAAAAUCUGGUAAAGACUACACAAACUACAUAAUUUUAAUUUUCAUUUUAUCAUGGAUUUUUGGCAUUAAGAGGAAUAUAGAACAAUGCUGACAAUAUUAUUAGUUAUCUAAACAAGCUGAGCAGUGUGGGUAAGCUCAUGAAUAAACUGUUGGUGAAUAAAAGGAGAAAAUAAGAGGUCAAAUAAAUUUUAGAUUCACCCUCCAUCUCAAUUUUUCUUCGCAUCACCAAAAAAUGCCUGUGUGAUGAGAUGACAUUUGUAAGAUAAAGAUUAAAACAUUAACUCCGACUAUCAGCAAAUAUCAACCUGUGCUGUAUUUUUUUAAUCAAUAACUGCUAGUUGGGGUGGACUGGUUAACAUACUAACCUCAUAUCCCUACAAAAUCAUAUUCACAUCCUUAUCCUGACUUUAUCGCUCAUGAUUUCAAAAAAUUGUAUAAAUAACCCGUGUAACCAUAAUGAAUACCGCCUGUGUUACAAGGAUAGCAUCAAAUUAUGACACAUACCUGCUUCUCAAACUCAGUAAGUCACAGAAUGUACAAUAAUAUAGUAAAAAAAAAAUCAACAGCAAGUUUUUCUUGUGCGUCUGGUUUCUGCAUCAAGUCCAAAAUGUUGAAUGUGUUUCUUUUUUCACUUUCUGUUCAUAACUAUAGUUAAUUUUUGUAUGUUUUAAACUAUAAAAAUAUUACAAAUUUCCCCGAUUUCACUUUUAUGUUUUGUUUUAUUUUAAUUGUUGAAUGAAUGUGUGUAUUUUUUUUUUUUUUUUGUGUCGUUUUUACUUUAGCAUCAAAGAGAAUGACUGUACAUUUCGUUUCAUUACAUUACUGUUUGAUUUAUGCAGUUACUAAAGGGAUCAAAAAUGGUGUUUACUGGGAAAAUAUGAUCUAGUUUUAUCUUUUAUCUUCAGGGAAACUGAGGGACAAAAGUGAAUGUAUUGUUUGGUACAUGUAAAAAAAAAAAAAAAAAAAAAACUUCAGGUAUGUAAUGUUUGAUUGAUGGACGAUCACUUGUCUAUGCAAUAUAAGAUUUUAUUUUUUAGCUAAUAUAUUUGAUAGUUUCUUUCAUGUUUCUCGAUGUAAGUCAGCACAGAAAACGACUGAGUGAUGUUUAUGUCAUCUGGUUUCAUGUGCCUGCUGGAUUUGCCCAAACAGAUGAUAUGAAGAUCAGUAAAUGUAGAUAUUUUUUUUUGUUGUGUGAAGCCUUUCGAUAAAACCUCCUCUCAGUGGGUUCGACGUUGCAGGAGCAGGGGCGGUGCAAUGUUUGGGGUAAACAGUUCGGCAACAUUUGUGGGGUUUAACUGAGCCUUACUGUUAAAAAGGACGACGUGGAUCUAAAUACAGAACUUAUAUUGUUGUUUUAGUCGUGUGGACGUAGAGGAAGAAUUGUGUGAUUGAAAAACCCUGAGAGGAAGAUGGACUGAAGGUGAAAAUUCAAUAAAUAUCAACAAUGUAAUACUGUAUAAUGUAUUAUGUCUAUGAUAUUUAACUUUUUUUUUCUUUACAAAUGAAUGUUCUAAUUGGGAAGAGGACAUGUGUGUUAUGCAAAUUAAUUACAAAGGCUUUAAGUUUUUUUUUUUUCUAUAUGGUUGAAGAAGCUGGCUUCAAGAGAAAAAUCUAAUAAAUGAUUCUGAAAACCCUU